AUGAACGCUGGCGGCGUGCCUAAUACAUGCAAGUCGAGCGAACAGACGAGGAGCUUGCUCCUCUGACGUUAGCGGCGGACGGGUGAGUAACACGUGGAUAACCUACCUAUAAGACUGGGAUAACUUCGGGAAACCGGAGCUAAUACCGGAUAAUAUAUUGAACCGCAUGGUUCAAUAGUGAAAGACGGUUUUGCUGUCACUUAUAGAUGGAUCCGCGCCGCAUUAGCUAGUUGGUAAGGUAACGGCUUACCAAGACGACGAUGCGUAGCCGACCUGAGAGGGUGAUCGGCCACACUGGAACUGAGACACGGUCCAGACUCCUACGGGAGGCAGCAGUAGGGAAUCUUCCGCAAUGGGCGAAAGCCUGACGGAGCAACGCCGCGUGAGUGAUGAAGGUCUUCGGAUCGUAAAACUCUGUUAUUAGGGAAGAACAAAUGUGUAAGUAACUAUGCACGUCUUGACGGUACCUAAUCAGAAAGCCACGGCUAACUACGUG
This 496-nucleotide ribosomal RNA is filed under the name uncultured bacterium. Its description in RNAcentral is "partial 16S ribosomal RNA". It matches the Rfam family "Bacterial small subunit ribosomal RNA", at positions 29 to 507 of the family's 1533-position model. The record is from RNAcentral.